RNAcentral lists this ribosomal RNA (403 nucleotides) under uncultured bacterium. Its description in RNAcentral is "bacterial SSU rRNA". It matches the Rfam family "Bacterial small subunit ribosomal RNA", at positions 97 to 510 of the family's 1533-position model. The record is from RNAcentral.
GGCGAACGGGUGCGAAAACACAGUGAGCUACAUGCCCAAGACUGGGACACCGAGGAAACUCGGACUAAUACCGGAUUGCCCUCACCGGGUCGCAUGGUCUGGUGAGGAAAUGGAUUCCGCUUUGGGAUGGGCUCUGCUGGUCUAUCAGCUUGUUGGUGGGGUAACGGCCUACCAAGGCGACGACGGAUAGGCUGGUCUGAUGAGGACGGAUCAGCCACACUGGGACUGAGACACGGUCCAGACCUCAUACGGGAGGCAGCAGUGGGGAAUCUUGCGCAAUGGGGGAAACCCUGACGCAGCGACGCCGCGUGCGGGAUGAAGGCCUUCGGGUUGUAAACCGCUUUCAGCAGGGACGAAAAUUGACGGUACCUGCCAGAAGAACGGCCCGGACAACUACGUGCCA